RNAcentral lists this long non-coding RNA (523 nucleotides) under Pongo abelii (Sumatran orangutan). RNAcentral's name for it is "lincRNA". Lineage: Eukaryota; Metazoa; Chordata; Mammalia; Primates; Hominidae. The record is from RNAcentral.
AGACUAAUGACUGAAGCUUCAAGACUUUGACAUGUGUGAAAACAUGAAAUGACCCUUGGCUCUUAUUGUUCUUGCUGGUGUGGUAUGUUCACGGCUGAAAAGGUGGUCAGAAGGGGAAAGGAGGAAGUGAGAAGAAAGAAACAGGGAAAUGACAGAGUGUUGCUCAGUUGCCCAGGCUAGAGUGCAAUGGCAUGAUCUUGGCUCACUGCAGCCUCCACCUCCUGGGUUCAAGUGAUUCUCGUGCCUCAGUCUCCCAAGUAGCUGGGAUUACAGCAGGCUGAGGAAUUACCAAGGAGGCAGGAGGUGGAGCAAAACACACCAAGCCUGAUGCCAGUCAUUGACAAUAUUAUGGAACUGACUCAGCGCAAGAAGACAGCUUCGACUCCUUAUGAUUUCAUCCCUAACCAAUCAGCACUCCUGGCUCACUGGCUUCCCCCAACCCACCAAAUUGUCCUUAAAAACUCUGCUCUCCAAAUGCUGGGGGAGACUGACUUGAGUAGUAAUAAAACUCUGGUCUCCCGCA